Molecule: transfer RNA, 76 nt
Filed under: bacterium
Lineage: Bacteria
Description: tRNA-Val
Rfam family: tRNA
About the family: Transfer RNA (tRNA) molecules are approximately 80 nucleotides in length.
Source: RNAcentral
GGGGGUGUAGCUCAAAAGUAGAGCACUUCGAUUACAUCGAAGAGGUUGGUGUGUGCAAUUCCACUCAUCCCCACCA